This 497-nucleotide ribosomal RNA is filed under the name uncultured bacterium. RNAcentral's name for it is "partial 16S ribosomal RNA". It matches the Rfam family "Bacterial small subunit ribosomal RNA", at positions 28 to 507 of the family's 1533-position model. The record is from RNAcentral.
GAUGAACGCUGGCGGCGUGCCUAAUACAUGCAAGUCGAGCGAACGGACGAGAAGCUUGCUUCUCUGAUGUUAGCGGCGGACGGGUGAGUAACACGUGGAUAACCUACCUAUAAGACUGGGAUAACUUCGGGAAACCGGAGCUAAUACCGGAUAAUAUUUUGAACCGCAUGGUUCAAAAGUGAAAGACGGUCUUGCUGUCACUUAUAGAUGGAUCCGCGCUGCAUUAGCUAGUUGGUAAGGUAACGGCUUACCAAGGCAACGAUGCAUAGCCGACCUGAGAGGGUGAUCGGCCACACUGGAACUGAGACACGGUCCAGACUCCUACGGGAGGCAGCAGUAGGGAAUCUUCCGCAAUGGGCGAAAGCCUGACGGAGCAACGCCGCGUGAGUGUUGAAGGUCUUCGGAUCGUAAAACUCUGUUAUUAGGGAAGAACAUAUGUGUAAGUAGCUGUGCACAUCUUGACGGUACCUAAUCAGAAAGCCACGGCUAACUACGUG